UACGGGGGGGGCAAGCGUUGUUCGGAAUUACUGGGCGUAAAGGGCUCGUAGGCGGCCAACUAAGUCAGACGUGAAAUCCCUCGGCUUAACCGGGGAACUGCGUCUGAUACUGGAUGGCUUGAGAUUGGGAGAGGGAUGCGGAAUUCCAGGUGUAGCGGUGAAAUGCGUAGAUAUCUGGAGGAAUACCGGUGGCGAAGGCGGCAUCCUGGACCGGCAUUGACGCUGAGGAGCGAAAGCUAGGGGAGCAAACGGG
This 253-nucleotide ribosomal RNA is filed under the name uncultured bacterium. Its description in RNAcentral is "partial 16S ribosomal RNA". It matches the Rfam family "Bacterial small subunit ribosomal RNA", at positions 524 to 776 of the family's 1533-position model. The record is from RNAcentral.